RNAcentral lists this ribosomal RNA (587 nucleotides) under uncultured bacterium. RNAcentral's name for it is "bacterial SSU rRNA". It matches the Rfam family "Bacterial small subunit ribosomal RNA", at positions 338 to 916 of the family's 1533-position model. The record is from RNAcentral.
CCUACGGGAGGCAGCAGUAGGGAAUCUUCCGCAAUGGACGAAAGUCUGACGGAGCAACGCCGCGUGAACGAUGAAGGCCUUCGGGUCGUAAAGUUCUGUUGUUAGGGAAGAACAAGUAUCGGAGUAACUGCCGGUACCUUGACGGUACCUAACCAGAAAGCCACGGCUAACUACGUGCCAGCAGCCGCGGUAAUACGUAGGUGGCAAGCGUUGUCCGGAAUUAUUGGGCGUAAAGCGCGCGCAGGCGGUCCUUUAAGUCUGAUGUGAAAGCCCACGGCUCAACCGUGGAGGGUCAUUGGAAACUGGGGGACUUGAGUGCAGAAGAGGAAAGCGGAAUUCCACGUGUAGCGGUGAAAUGCGUAGAGAUGUGGAGGAACACCAGUGGCGAAGGCGGCUUUCUGGUCUGUAACUGACGCUGAGGCGCGAAAGCGUGGGGAGCAAACAGGAUUAGAUACCCUGGUAGUCCACGCCGUAAACGAUGAGUGCUAAGUGUUAGGGGGUUUCCGCCCCUUAGUGCUGCAGCUAACGCAUUAAGCACUCCGCCUGGGGAGUACGGCCGCAAGGCUGAAACUCAAAGGAAUUGACGG